This 254-nucleotide ribosomal RNA is filed under the name uncultured bacterium. RNAcentral describes it as "partial 16S ribosomal RNA". It matches the Rfam family "Bacterial small subunit ribosomal RNA", at positions 524 to 776 of the family's 1533-position model. The record is from RNAcentral.
UACGUAGGGUGCAAGCGUUAUCCGGAAUUAUUGGGCGUAAAGAGCUCGUAGGCGGUCUGUCGCGUCGGCUGUGAAAACUCGGGGCUCAACCCCGAGCCUGCAGUCGAUACGGGCAGACUAGAGUGCUGUAGGGGAGACUGGAAGUUCCUGGUGUAGCGGUGAAAUGCGCAGAUAUCAGGAGGAACACCGGUGGCGAAGGCGGGUCUCUGGGCCGUAACUGACGCUGAGGAGCGAAAGCGUGGGGAGCGAACAGG